AUUAUGAAUGCUAACUUUAUUUCUGUACAAAAUUAAAAAAAAAUUAGAAGCUUAUUCAUUAAGGAACACUUUUUUAAUUGAAGUCUUCGAUACCAAAGUGUGGCUGUAUAUACAUUGACAUACACGGAUAUAAAAAAAAGUGACCCUCGCUUUUCAUUCAUUAAUUUAUCUUUCUAUUAGCAAUUAAUAUCCGAGUGCGCUUCGUCACCUAAAGCAGAAAAUGUCCGAUUCUGGUAGAAAACGCUUGAAAAUCCACGUUGUUUACUGGUAAGAUUUUCUUUUUCCCCAUUUACGUAAUUUUUCAAUAAUAUUCAAUUUUAAUAUUAUUUAUAAAAUAUAUUUUAGUCACGAAAGUUUUCUUUUCAACCGAGGAACUUGUGAGUUCGGAAAAGGAAUUCGUAUUUGAAGUCGAGAAAUAUUACAAUGAAGUGUCUAGAAAUUCCAAAGGGCCCAUCUGUCUAAACAUAUUUACUUUAGACAACUUUAGUUGACAACUAACGAUUCUUAAGGUCUGCCGACAAAUCCGGUCUCUACUUGAAGUCUACGUUGUUUGCACCGAGGUGAGAAUUCAUUCUUCUGUAACGAAUAAUCUGGUCUUUCUCCCUUCAACGAUUAUCCUUAUUUAGUCUCUGCUCCGCAAACCUACGAACAAAGACAUUAAAGAUUUUUCCAUCGCGACCGGCCGGCUUCUUUUCCUUUCUUUCUAGCAAAAGUCAUAGAGUACCACAUUAUGUAAUCAG
This 740-nucleotide long non-coding RNA is filed under the name Octopus vulgaris (common octopus). Lineage: Eukaryota; Metazoa; Mollusca; Cephalopoda; Octopoda; Octopodidae. The record is from RNAcentral.